Molecule: long non-coding RNA, 489 nt
Filed under: Rattus norvegicus (Norway rat)
Lineage: Eukaryota; Metazoa; Chordata; Mammalia; Rodentia; Muridae
Description: long non-coding RNA NONRATT007202
Source: RNAcentral
UCCGGAGCUGGGGACCGAACUCACUGAGCUAAAUCCCCAACCCCGAAAAAAUUUUCAAAUGAAAAGUGUAACACUGAAAAGCAAUCGUAAGCACGAAUAGGUCAGAGUGGUAGGCAUUUCUGUAAAAUAAAUGAUGUGCGAGAGAUGGCUCGACAGAGAAGCAGGACAAUGGUGCACAUCUGUUGUCCCAGAACUCUACAGCAAGACAAAGGCAGAGACAGAAAAACAGACCUAGACCUUACAGUGCAGUCAGCCUGGACUACAGAGCACACCAACAGAAACAAGAGGACCCUAGUCAUAACAAGAUGCAAAGUGAGAAUCACUCCUGAAAAGUGUUCUCUGAUAUUCACACAGACUGGGCUCAUGUGUUCCUGCCCUCAUACAUACAUGCAUGCAUAUAUACAUACAUGCAUGCAUGCAUAUACGAAGACACACAUAAUAAAUACAAAUGAAAAAGGAUUUAAGUGAUGCAUUUGAAAUGCUAGUGUA